GAGGCUGAUAUUGGAUGAAUCCUACCCGGUGAGGUAUUUAUAAUUUCCUAACCAAGCGGGAUUCCACCCGACAGCAGCCU
Molecule: microRNA precursor, 80 nt
Filed under: Nasonia vitripennis (jewel wasp)
Lineage: Eukaryota; Metazoa; Arthropoda; Insecta; Hymenoptera; Pteromalidae
Description: microRNA nvi-mir-3478 precursor
Rfam family: mir-3478 microRNA precursor family
Source: miRBase by way of RNAcentral